UGGGGCUCACAACAAUACAGGCAGCCACUCCAAUUUGCCAGGACAUUGAGAUGAAUUCAUGCAGAGGAGAACCUGAGUCCUUGAUUGGCUUCUCAAACAAAGCAGUGUCUGCUGCAAGAAAACUUUCUCGUCUUUGAGAAACUAACGAACCGUGUUUAUGAUCUACAAAUGUGUACUGAGUAGUAAAGCAAUAUUCACUGACCUGCUGGAGCACUGGCUCUUCACCUUAUGCUAUAUUACUACCCAAAGUGAGCAAAACAAAUUAGAAUAAUUAUUUGAGAGAGAGGCAUGUGAUGCUUCCAAGUAUAAUUGUCUCCAACCAAUUGAUAAGGUGUGAAUACAUUAACAUCUAAUUAUAGUAGAUUAGAAAGGGACUGCAGUUUAAGUCCCUGAACAGCCUUCUACAUCUGGAAUUGUUACAUCCACUUUCUAGCAAACUUUAACAGAAAAUAUUGUUGCCCUUCAUAGUUAUUAGCUGUAGAAUUUGGUUCUUGAUUGUGUUGGCUUCUGUUAGAAAUUUGGAGGAGCUAAUGACAUCUUUCUUCUUUAUCUGAACACAUUGGGAAACAACCAAGGAGGCAAAUGGGAAUCAAAUAUGUUGCUAGUUUUAUCAAUGGAUUCCUGAUAGCUCUCAAAGCAUAGGGCUCUCUGGUAACAUUAAAUUAAAGAAAGUAUCAGGGCUGACUACCUCUUUCCUCCAACUAAACUUUUCUAAUGAAGCUGGAGAAAGUAGAAUACUCCUGAAGAGAGAGACCUUUCCCUGGUGAGUUUAUUACAUGAAGACAAGAAACACAGUAAAGUGUUAGCAAACCAUGAAGAUCAAGCAACUGGCCCCUUUGUUAUUUCAGUGCAAUGACCCCAUUUCCUGGUUAACAUUGUCCAGUGGAAAGCGAUAUUUUACCUCCCUGCUCUAUGAGAAAAAUUGAGUAGUGUGACAAAGAGAAGAACCAGAUCUGCACCUCCCCACCAGACUCCUUCUUGUGGAAGACAGGACAACACUCUAG
Molecule: long non-coding RNA, 1004 nt
Filed under: Homo sapiens (human)
Lineage: Eukaryota; Metazoa; Chordata; Mammalia; Primates; Hominidae
Description: HSALNT0135834
Source: RNAcentral